Molecule: ribosomal RNA, 345 nt
Filed under: uncultured bacterium
Lineage: Bacteria
Description: bacterial SSU rRNA
Rfam family: Bacterial small subunit ribosomal RNA
Source: RNAcentral
CUAGCGACUUCAGAGUUUGAUCCUGGCUCAGGAUGAACGCUGGCGGCGUGCUUAACACAUGCAAGUCGAACGAAGCAUAUGGAGUGCUUGCACAAAGUAUGACUGAGUGGCGGACGGGUGAGUAACGCGUGGGUAACCUGCCUUACACAGGGGGACAACGGCUGGAAACGGCUGCUAAUACCGCAUAAGCGCACAGCUUCGCAUGAAGCAGUGUGAAAAGAUUUAUCGGUGUAAGAUGGACCCGCGUCUGAUUAGCUAGUUGGUGAGGUAAAGGCUCACCAAGGCGACGAUCAGUAGCCGGCCUGAGAGGGUGAACGGCCACAUUGGGACUGAGACACGGCCCAG